This is a long non-coding RNA of Helianthus annuus (common sunflower), 1227 nucleotides long. RefSeq lists it as uncharacterized. The transcript is spliced from 4 exons. The record is from RefSeq and is a predicted model, not a curated record. Lineage: Eukaryota; Viridiplantae; Streptophyta; Magnoliopsida; Asterales; Asteraceae.
ACCCACCCAUAGAUGAUAGUUUUACCCUGAUAUCAAUUUCACUCCAAACCCUAAUUAGCCUCUCCCUCAUCACGCCCACAACCGUCUCCCUCCCCACCACCACUGAUUCGCAUCUCCAUCUCUCCCAAACCCUAAUCAAUCAUAUCCACUUCCCUCAAACAUAUAGAGAGAAGAGGCAGAGAUAGAGUUAGAGAAACAUAUACAGAGAAGAGGCGGGAUUAACAGGGGCUGCCGGGACCUUCUGUUCGUGGCGUUCUCCUAGGCGGCGAUGGUGCUGUUCUGUGCCUCAAACUGUCGUAUGCCUACAAUCACCCUACAUAUUGGGUCUUGAUCUGUGGUAUGUUAUGGCUCUGGUUAACCCGCAUCCCUUUUAGACGAAUGAUUCCACAUACCCCUCUCUUCUGGUUUGAGGUCGUUGGUUUGUUUCCUUUGAUUCGAUGAUGAUGGGCGUUUGCACAUCUGAGAGAUGAUGGUGAAAUUAAGCUUAUCUCAGAUCUUAUUCGAUUUGCACUAACUAUUUUUGGAUUUUGGAAGCACAUCUGAAAGGCACUUGAAUUUGUGCAGAGAGUGUUAUAAAAAGGUUGUUAAACUUGCUUAUCAACUGAGAAAUGCCUCUCAAAAACAAUCUCUUCUUUCUGGAAUUAUACUUUGCUGGGCUUCCGUUAUUCAAGGAACUAGCUUUAGUGAAAGAACGAAGGUGCAAUUUCUCUAUGAUCAUAAGAAAUCCUACACACCAGACACCACUUUAUUUUUUUAGUGGCAUGGAUCUAGCAUCAAGGUUUAGGUAGCAGUUGGGUUUCUCCUGGUCAUUCUAUUGCAGCCGCAAUGUCUUAUCAAUUAUGAGCCUCAAGUGUCCAUGUUUAUUUUUGUCCUGUUUUCUUCAACACGUUUCUUUAACUGCUAAGAUCGCUAUUGUCUAUUUUUUUGUAUUUUUUGUUUGUGUUGGUGCAGGUUGAACUUUUAUUCUUCUUCGUUAAAGAGCCUAGGGUUGGAUCAAGAUUCCAGUUUCAGGUUGUAUUGAUUUAGUCAUGAAGACAGAUAGUAAUAACAAUGAAAUAACAAUCCAUAAAACAUCAUCACCAUUUUUAGGCUCGCAUAAUUGCUAGAUUUAUUUAAAGGAGACUUUGAGUUGGAAAUCAUUCUUUACCUUAGAUUAACUUAGAUGUAUGCAUUAAGCUAUAUAUAUUGGUUUGCACAUUCUGUUUAAUUUUAUUAUGCAUUAAGCUA